GAAUUCGCCCUUAGAGUUUGAUCCUGGCUCAGGACGAACGCUGGCGGCGCGCUUAACACAUGCAAGUCGAACGGAGAUAUUCGCCGUACGAAGCUUCGGCAGAGUACAUGAGUAUUUCAGUGGCGAACGGGUGAGUAACACGUGAGGAACCUGCCUUUAAGAGGGGGAUAACACUUAGAAAUAGGUGCUAAUACCGCAUAAGACCACACUGCCGCAUGGCAGAGGGGUCAAAGGAGCAAUCCGCUUAAAGAUGGACUCGCGUCCGAUUAGGCAGUUGGCGGGGUAACGGCCCACCAAACCGACGAUCGGUAGCCGGACUGAGAGGUCGAACGGCCACAUUGGGACUGAGACACGGCCCAGACUCCUACGGGAGGCAGCAGUGGGGAAUAUUGGGCAAUGGGGGAAACCCUGACCCAGCGACGCCGCGUGAGGGAAGAAGGUUUUCGGAUUGUAAACCUCUGUCUUCGGGAACGAUAAUGACGGUACCCGAGGAGGAAGCCACGGCUAACUACGUGCCAGCAGCCGCGGUAAAACGUAGGUGGCAAGCGUUGUCCGGAAUUACUGGGUGUAAAGGGAGCGCAGGUGGGCGUGCAAGUCGAAUGUGAAAACUAUGGGCUCAACUCAUAGAUUGCGUUCGAUACUGUAUGUCUUGAGUGGAGUAGAGGCAGGCGGAAUUCCCGGUGUAGCGGUGGAAUGCGUAGAUAUCGGGAGGAACACCAGUGGCGAAGGCGGCCUGCUGGGCUCUAACUGACACUGAGGCUCGAAAGCGUGGGUAGCAAACAGGAUUAGAUACCCUGGUAGUCCACGCUGUAAACGAUGAUUAC
RNAcentral lists this ribosomal RNA (824 nucleotides) under uncultured bacterium. RNAcentral describes it as "bacterial SSU rRNA". It matches the Rfam family "Bacterial small subunit ribosomal RNA", at positions 1 to 816 of the family's 1533-position model. The record is from RNAcentral.